RNAcentral lists this ribosomal RNA (124 nucleotides) under Anolis carolinensis (green anole). The record is from RNAcentral. Lineage: Eukaryota; Metazoa; Chordata; Lepidosauria; Squamata; Anolidae.
AUUCUAUGCCUGAGUACCCUAAAGGCACCAGAUCCUAUCUGAUCUCUAAAGUUCAGUCAGGUCAGGUCAGUCCUGGUUAGGAUUUGGAUGGGACACCUCCAGGGAAUACCAGAUGCUUAGACUA